CAGGAGAAGGUGCCAUGUCAUGUCUGU
RNAcentral lists this non-coding RNA (27 nucleotides) under Mus musculus (house mouse). Lineage: Eukaryota; Metazoa; Chordata; Mammalia; Rodentia; Muridae. The record is from RNAcentral.